RNAcentral lists this ribosomal RNA (774 nucleotides) under uncultured Neocallimastigales. RNAcentral's name for it is "partial large subunit ribosomal RNA". It matches the Rfam family "Eukaryotic large subunit ribosomal RNA", at positions 25 to 634 of the family's 3401-position model. The record is from RNAcentral. Lineage: Eukaryota; Fungi; Neocallimastigomycota; Neocallimastigomycetes; Neocallimastigales.
ACACUGACGUCGCGACGCAUAUCAAUAAGCGGAGGAAAAGAAACUAACUAGGAUUCCCUUAGUAACGGCGAGUGAAGCGGGAAGAGCUCAAAUUUGAAAUCUUCAAGGUUUACCUUGACGAAUUGUAGUUUAAAGAAGUGUUUUCUGUUGGAUGUUUUGGUAAAAGUUCUUUGGAAUAGGACAUCAUAGAGGGUGAGAAUCCCGUAUUUGGUCAUUCCUUCUAGCUUUGUGAUACACUUUCAAAGAGUCGGAUUGUUUGGGAAUGCAGUCCAAAAUGGGUGGUAAAUUUCAUCUAAAGCUAAAUAUUGGCGAGAGACCGAUAGCGAACAAGUACCGUGAGGGAAAGAUGAAAAGAACUUUGAAAAGAGAGUUAAACAGUACGUGAAAUUGUCAAAAGGGAAGCGUUUGACACCAGUGUUGUUUUUCCGAAAAUCAAUUACGAAUGGCUUGAUUUUGUGUUGUAUUGACCUUAUCAGCUUUCUUCACUUUUUUCGAGUCUUUCUUAAUGCACUUUUCGGUUAACAAGUCAACAUCAAUUUCUUUUGUUGUAAAAGAGUAUUCGGAAGGUGGCUUUCUUUUCGGAGAAAGUGUUUAUAGCCCUAUACUUCUACAAUCGGAGAGAUUGAGGUCUGCAGCGUAGAUCCUUCGGGGUUAGAUACAUUUGUGCUAAGUUGUAGCUUUUCAUAGACAACUUGUUGACUAUGUUUAGUCAUGCGGCUUACUCGCUUGUGCUAUUUUACCUACGCUUAGGAUGUUGAGUCGUAGAGCACGCAG